UUCUGGCUUCUAAUUUCUUUUAAAAUAGUUUUCCAAUGUGAUCCUGAGAAUGUAGAAUCAACAUUAUUGCUAUUUGUUGGAACUUUUUAAAUGGGCAGGUAUUUUAUUUUCGAAAACAGAGUAAUAGGCAAUUUGGUUGAACAGACUGAUUGCUUCUAUAACAUGAUUUGAGAUAGGAAGUUGAAUCCAGUCCCAGCCCACAUUUAGGCUUAAUGUCAACAGUGGAUUAAUUUAUGAAGUUAUAACUGCAUACUAGUCUCUUUUUCCAGAACCCCUGUUGUUAUACGGACCUUGUCAAUGCUUCCUUGAGGUAAGUAUUGGUAAUUUCUGCUGCCACCAACUAUUUUCUCGAAGACACUUCACUUGGCAACCCCCUCAAUCUCUGCAUGAGAGUAUUUUUACUACCUGUAUUGCUUUACUGACAGUAAAAAAAGUAAAUAUGAAAAAAAUGAACCAAUGCAAAUUUUUAACUCUAAAUUUUAAAGGCACAUGACUAAGGGUUUUAGCUCUUCCUUUGUUCCCUUUUGGUAAUUAAUUCUGCAAGACUUGACAGCUGGGGAUAGAAAAACAUUACAGAGGGUGGUGAGCACAGCACAAACCAUUAUGGGCUGUCCCCUAAUACCACUACAUGAGAUUGUUAGGGCUCACUGCCUUAGAAGGGUGAGGAGAAUCCUCAGGGACGACUCACACCCUGGUCAGCCCUUCUUCAUUCGCCUGCCAUCAAGGAGAAGAUAUAGAAGCGUAGCCAGCCACACGAACAGGCUGAAGAAGAGUUUUUAUCGGUGGGCUUUCAGAUUCCUGAAUGCGAAAUAACAUCGUAACUAUAUAGUACAAUAGACUUGCAGGGCCAGCCCAAGGUAUAACACGUUCACACUCGUGCAAUAGAACUGGGUGUUUGUUAAUAUGAUUUAUUGGGUUAGGGAUUUUCUGUCUUCACUGCGCAUUGUAUUGUGUUGUGUUGGGGUGCACUGAGGGAGUUCCACCAAUCUCAUUGUGCAUGUGCAAAGGUUAUUAUUAAGACAUAAAAUCAAAUUUUUAUUUUUUAAAAAGUUUGAAGAUAUAUGAAAUCCAACUUAUAAAUCUAUUUGUGACAGAUCACCAAGUUAUGAUUGGACUGAGGGCACAGCCGAAGCUCACAAGAAUUUCUCAAAGAGCAGCUAUUGAGGACAGUAAUAAAUGGCAAAAGAGUGCACAUCAGAGUCGGCAGUGGCUAAACGACCGAACAACUUUCUUAUCCAAACGAAGCAAUUUGAAGAGCUUUCCAUACACACAGAUGAGUUAUGGCAAUAGUUAUGUGGGAGGAUCAAGAGGGAAAACGAGGUCUAAUUCUCCCAGUCCAAACUCCUUCACGGAUGCUCAUUUUUUUCAGACAGACAUUCCAUUUGAACUCUGAAAAUCCGGCAGCAGAGGGUGGUGGGGAGGAAACACAACUUUUUGCUAUCGUUGCCUUUGCAACUUCUUUAAUCGUCCUAUCACAGGUAAGUCUGUUGCACUCUUUUUUGUUCUAACGGUGGUGCUCCCGUCUGCCAAAAUACACACUCCAGCAUCUGGACUCGACUACCUGCGACCUGAAGGAAAGUUUUGGGACAAAAUCCCCUUCCCUGUUGGAAGCGCGGGGAACGAGCGCGAGAGGCUUCCUCCAGCCGGAAGGGGGUGCGAGCGAGCGAGCGAACGACCGACCGAGCUACCGCCCCAUGACGUCACUAGCGCGCGCCCACUAGCGCGCACCUAACGAACGACAAGGCUUCGCGAGAGGCGGGUUCCCUGGUUACGAAGCAGGGAUGAAUGAUUCGGAGCCAGCCCCAGGUGAGGAGGAUGGUGGGGAGCCCGAGGAAGAAGGGGAAGAGGAGGAAGAAGAGGUCGCUGCUGGGGAUGUGGAUGCCGAGACUGCGCCGGGUGGGCGGAAGGUUCGUGGUGGGCGGAAAGCCCGGGGUAGGCCGCGCCUCACCGAGUCUGACCGGGUACGACGACGCCUCGAAUCCCGCAAGAAAUACGACGAGCGGCGAGUCUACCUGGGCGAGUCUCACGGCUCGUGGGUGGACCUGAGGCAGCGCAGUGGCUGGAGUGACGCCAAGCUGGCGGCUUAUUUACUGGAACUGGAACGAGAACAGCGGGCCGGGCGCCGCGGAAAACCAUGGGAGCAGAUUGCUUAUGAGCCACAGCGAAAGAAAAGAAGAAGGCGAAAUGUGAACUGCUUGAAGAACAUAGUUAUUUGGUAUGAAGAUCACAAGAAUCGCUGCCCUUAUGAGCCUCAUCUCUCUGAGCUGGAUCCCAACUUUGGGAUGUACACCACAGCUGUAUGGCAAUGUGAAGCAGGGCACCGCUAUUUCCAGGACUUACACUCACCACUUAAACCACUCAGUGAUUCUGAAAAUGAAUGUGACAGUGUUGCCAAUGGCACUGGAGCUGGAAGCUCUGAGUCUUCAGAAGAGAGCUCUAGCUCUGAGACAGAGGAACAUCUGGAGAAUCAGAAAGACAAGCCCCAGGUUCAACAAUCCUCAGCAAAUGCAGAAGGAGAAAAUACCAGUGGCCUCAUCACACAGGAUGGCAUCCAUAUUCCGUUUGAGAACUUACGAACAGAACAGGGUACUAGCAUUUGUCACAGUCCCUCCCUCAAUGGACCAGAAACAAUGGAAACUGUGGUAUGCAUGCCAGUGCCCGUGCAGAUGGGUUCAAGUCAUGGAACCCUGUUUGAGAACGUUUCCCAAGAGACACUUGGAGAAGUAGUAGCCAGCUGCCCUGUGCAAGGUAUGAUGCAAGGUUCACAGGUGAUCAUCAUUGCUGGACCUGGCUAUGAUUCUCUCACAGCAGAAGGAAUCCAGCUGAAUGUCACCAGCACAGGAGAAGAGGAGCUGCCUUGUGCUAUGAUAGAGGGUGUAGCACCUUAUACUCAGACAGAACCUGAAAAUGGACAACAGAGUAGCAUGGAAAACAUGGAAUGCAUCAAAACGAAAAAAGAAAAUAAGGCAUUCUUUAAACUCAAAAAAGAAGAGCAUCAUCCUCCAACAGAAACAGAAGCAUCCUGUAAUUCAAAACCAGCCCAUGAGAGCAGGGGGCAGGAACUAGAGCCUGAACCUGAGGAGGAGACUGAUGGAAACAGCAUGUCAUCCAUUAUUUAUGAGAUUCCAAAGGAGCCUGAAAAGAGGCGGCGGAGCAAAAGAGGUCGUGUCAUAGAUGCAGAUGGCAUGUUGGAGAUGUUCCACUGUCCUUACGAAGGAUGCACCCAAGUCUAUGUAGCACUUAGUAGCUUCCAGAAUCAUGUUAAUCUUGUUCAUCGGAAAGGAAAAACGAAAGUGUGCUCACACCCAGGUUGUGGCAAAAAGUUUUACCUAUCUAAUCAUCUCCGAAGACACAUGAUAAUCCAUUCAGGUAUAUUGUCACCUCUAAGUUUUGCUAUUUAUGAUAUGUCUUCAUCACUUUGGAGGUACGGUGUUUCCCUGAAAACAAGACCUAGCCUGAUUUUUAAGUGCACCUAAUAUAAGUCCUACCCAAAAAAACAGUCCUAGUGAAGAUCGUCAUCAGGUGGGGGAGCAGCACCGGAGGCUGUGAGGGCAGGGGGCCAACAGUGUCCAGCAGCCUACACAGUGCAGGUGAGUUGAUUACCUAUCCAAGCAGCAAGCAGAGGCGGGGGGAAGGCAGGCACACUGGGAACGCCAAGAGUUAGUGGGCUGGAGUAGAAGGGCAGCCACGGGAGGCUUGUCUUCGCAUGGCAGACGGAGGCAGAAGUGCGGGGGUGAGGGUGGGGGAAGGCAUGUGAUCUCGACACUCCCUGCGGGCCGCAGGCAAGCCAAUAGACACAAAUAUUAGCCACCCGCUGCCAGCCGUCCACUUCAUCCCACCGUCUCUUGGUUUGCCUGCAGCCUUCGUGGUGCGGCUGGAUUGUGUGCCUUCCCCCCAUGCCUCUACUUCCAUCUGCUGCCGGUGCCACCGCACAAAGAUGAGUCUCCUACAGCUGCCCGCCUGCUCUGGCCCACUGACAGUCGGGUUUCCUGUAGCCCAUGCAGUGUGUCUAGAUUGCGUGCCCCCCCCUCCCCCUGUCUGCUGCUUGGAUAGGUAAUGAACUCACUGGUGCUAUGCAGACUGCGCAGCCCCAGAGUGUGCCGACUAAGGGCCACGGGCUGCAGCUGCUGCCGGUCAAUGUCGGCCCCCACGCGCGAACUGCCUUUAUGCGGGCCAAGGGUGGGGCACCCAGCCAGUCUGAUCACUCUGAAAUUGUGUUUCCCCAAAAAUAAGCCUUAUUUUGGAGCCCCCCAAAAAUAUAAGACCGAGUCUUAUUGUUGGGGAAACAUGGUAUUUUAGUAUAUGAUGGCUCUGAUGAAAUUGUUAACCUUGCACAUCAAUGUAUGCCAACUAUUUUGAAUAAAGAGGUCCAAAAACAAUAUCAUUUUCUUACACUGGAAGAGAAAGUUGUUCCUCAUAUUUACUUCAGUAGACAAGAGUAAAAGAUGUGCAGCAAUCUCUAGAGGGGUUUCUCCCUUCCAGUCAAAUCACUGAGAAAUCUGUGGCUUUCUGGUCUAAGAGGAGUUGUUCCUCUUUUACUGUUUUUUCUUCAGGCUGGAGGAACAUGGUGACAAGUGGUGCAAUUAAAGAUUUUGCAAGAUUCCCAUUUUCUCUCAGGUUUCAUUCGGCACUUGAAUAAUUGGCCAAGAUGGUAUAUUUUCUGUGGAAGUUAGCAUAUUGAUCUUAAUUUCCAUUUUUUCAUGCUGCACAUUUUCUAUCUCUUAUAAUUUUAUCUUGGUAUUUUCACUGAUCAAAGACCCAUUACCUUUUCCAGAACUGAUUGCAAAUGCUUUUCAUUUUUCCCAUAAGGGAAAUUAUUAAUGGCAUUGUUCGGUCCACUAAAAAGGAUCUUUUUGAGGGGUCAGCAACUGGGCUGCAUUUAUGUCCUGUGGAAUGUGACUGUAUUUUAUGACUUUUUGCAGAAAACAAGCAUAUAUUUCCAUUAUUAUUUUUUUGCAAAACUGCCUGUAGCAAACUGUUGGUUCAUUUAAUGACCAUGGUGUUCACUUAAUGAUUGUGGAUUCAUUUAGAGACUAUGAUGAUUCAUGUAACAACCACUGCAAAAAAGAUAAUAUCAGGUCCAUUACAUGAGUGGCCCUAUUUACAACUGUCUUGAGUUAUGACUGUGAUAGGCAGCCUUCAUUACAGUUGUAAUUCGAAGACUACUUGUGCAGCAGUACAGCUGUCUGUCCAGUCUAGCAAGUUUUUUUGCAAAUGCUAAAAAUACUGUAACUUUCAGAGCUGACUUAUGCUGCGUGUACAAUUAUUAGGCAAGUGAGUAUUUUGACCAUAUCAUUUUUAUGCAAGUUUUCCACCUCCAAGCUGUAUAAACUUGAAUGCUUAUUGGAUAGAAGCAUAUCAGGUGAAGUGUACUUGUGUAAUAAGGGAGGGUGUGGCCUAAGGAAGAUCAACACCCUAUAUCUGUGAUGGCGAACUAUGGCACGCGUACCAGAGGUGACACGCAGAGCCCUUUCUACUGGAACACACACCGUUGCUCCAGGUCAGACCUCCAUGGCGUUUUGUGAGCUUCUGUUUCCCUACAAAUGGCGAAACAAAAGCUCACAAAAGAAAAAGAUCUUCCUCUUGCUGCACUGCCAGUGUUGGGAUGCCCCGCCUCCCGCUAGCCAGCUGGUCUUUGGGUCUCUGCUGUGUAUGCACGCAUAUCCACUCAUGCAUGCAUGUCUGUGUGGUCGCGCAUGUUUCACAAGUGCACGUACCUUUCAGUUUGGGCACAUACAUGCAGUUUGGGCACUCGGUGUCUCAAAGGUUCCCCAUCACUGCCCUAUAUCAAGGUGUGCAUAAUUAUUAGGCAGAGUCUUUUCCUCAGGCAAAAUGGGCCAAAAAAGAGAUUUAACUGACUAAAAGUCAAAAAUUGUAAAAAGUCUUUCAGAGGGAUGAAGCACUCUUGAAUUUGCUAAGAUGUUGGGGCGUGAUCACAGAACCAUCAAACAUUUUGUUGCAAAUAGUCAACAGGGUUGCAAGAAACAUGUUGAGAACAGAAGAUGCACAUUAACCAUCAUAGAUUUGAGAAGAAUCAAAUGUGAAGCUACCAGGAACCCAUUAUUCUCUAGUGCUGUCAUAUUCCAGAACUGCAACCUACAUGGAGUGCCCAGAAGUACAAGGUGUUCAAUGCUUAGAGACAUGGCCAAGGUAAGGAAGGCUGAAAUCUGACCACCACUGGACAAGAGAUAUAAGUUAAAAUGGCAAGACUGGGCAAGAAAUAUCUGAAGACAGAUUUUUCAAAGGUUUUAUAGACUGAUGAGAGUGACUCUUGACAGACCUAAACCCUAUUGAGCCCUUCUUAAAGGGGAGGAAGUGGUGAAGGAAAACAGUACACCUCUCUGAACAGUGUCUGGGAGGUUGUGGUUCCUGCUGCACACAAAGUUGGUCAUCAACAGAUCAAGAAACUGACAGACUCCAUGAAUGGAAGGCUUAUGACUCUAAUUGAAAAGAAGGGUAGUUAUAUUGGUCACUGAUUUUUUUUGAAAUAUCAGAAAUGUUUAUUUGUAAAUUUUGAGUAGUUUAUUAUUUUCACUUUAACAGAUGGAAAUAAAUGAGUGAGUGAAAUGGGAAACAUUUCGUUUUCAUUUAGUGGCAUAAUAAUUCUACACACUAAUAGUUGCCCAAUAAUUGCGCACACAUAGAUAUUCUAAGAAAGGCAAAACUUCACUUUUACUUUCUUAACUAUUCAGGUUUGAGGUUUAUCAAUAUUUUGGAUUGACCGAGAGCACUGUAAUUGUUCAAUAAUAAAAUUAAUCCUCAGAAAUACAACUUGCCUGAUAAUUGUGCACACAGUGUAUGUCUUAAUUAACUAUUAUAAAUGUAGUCCUUACAUUUAAAAAAUAAUAAUUCAGUCUCAUAAUAUCUGUUCCUCUCUUGCUUCUAUCCUUGUCCAUUCAUAAGUAUAGUUUAUUCUAAAUGAGGCAUAGAAUAUGUUGGAACAUUUGCAGAAGAAUAAAGAUUUAAUCUUUUAUAACUACAUGUUGAUUUAUUUUCAGAAAAUCAGUUUAUACACAGCAGAGAUUUUUCAUAGCCAUAUCAAAGUAAAUCUAAUUUUCUGUUUCCCUUGUAAAAAACAUUGAUUAAUGCUCUACAGCAUCACAGCCCAUUCUAUAAACAGCUCAGCUAUCCAGCAAUAUUGAAGUUCUUUUUAUUCCAGAGGUUCCUCUCAGCAAUACAUAUAAGGCCACUAAAUGGAUUUCUGCAUCUUCUUUUAUUAAAGGAAGUUUCUAAAAAUCUUGCAGAAUUCUAUCUCCCAUCUGCUUCUCCACUAUAGGAAAAUGAAGUAUGGACUUAAAGGCUCUCUUUCUACAGUGGACAGAAGAGAUAAUAGCUUUGCCACUCAGAAGGGAAGAGGUACUCUCUAUCAGUGAGUUCGUGAAUUUACUUGUGAGACUUGUGGAAAAUCCUUCAAGCGGAAGAAUCAUCUGGAGGUCCAUCGUCGAACGCAUACUGGAGAGACCCCUCUCCAGUGUGAGAUUUGUGGCUAU
This is an RNA transcript of Ahaetulla prasina, 7490 nucleotides long. It is a transcript of the gene named zinc finger protein 653, with no coding region annotated. The transcript is spliced from 9 exons. NCBI's taxonomy places the organism in Eukaryota, Metazoa, Chordata, Lepidosauria, Squamata, Colubridae. The record is from RefSeq and is a predicted model, not a curated record.